Long non-coding RNA from Zerene cesonia (dogface butterfly), 431 nucleotides. RefSeq lists it as uncharacterized. NCBI's taxonomy places the organism in Eukaryota, Metazoa, Arthropoda, Insecta, Lepidoptera, Pieridae. The record is from RefSeq and is a predicted model, not a curated record. The transcript is spliced from 4 exons.
UAUUGAUUAUCAAUAAUAAUUUCAAAAACAUUAUGCGUUUUCAGUUUAAAUAGGAAAAAAUAAUGUUGCAAUAAUCAAUACCCAUACCUACUUGACUAAUUUAAUACGAUACGAUUUUAAUUAGUUUUGAACGAUCUUUCUUUCUUCCACAUGGUUUCGUUAGUGACGGUAAUUUCGAGAUUUCACGAGACUGCAUGUUCUAAUCAUGUUUCACAAUAGCAACGACAACGUAGGUGCUGCAAUGGCGUGCGUGGCCACUGAUCAACUUCAUUGUGGCAAUAAAUAUAAAAUGUAUGGAUUUGAGAAGAUACAGAUUUGACAAGAGAACCAUUUAAUGUAAUGAAAGAAACCACACCAUAUCACAGCAUGAAGCCGCCAGGCAGCUAAUGCAGCAGCCAUAACAAUUUCAAUUGCAAGGAUCUCGCCGGUCC